This 371-nucleotide ribosomal RNA is filed under the name uncultured bacterium. RNAcentral describes it as "bacterial SSU rRNA". It matches the Rfam family "Bacterial small subunit ribosomal RNA", at positions 527 to 896 of the family's 1533-position model. The record is from RNAcentral.
GUAGGGUGCAAGCGUUGUCCGGAAUUACUGGGCGUAAAGAGUUCGUAGGCGGUUUGUCGCGUCGUUUGUGAAAACUCACAGCUCAACUGUGAGCCUGCAGGCGAUACGGGCAGACUUGAGUACUGCAGGGGAGACUGGAAUUCCUGGUGUAGCGGUGAAAUGCGCAGAUAUCAGGAGGAACACCGGUGGCGAAGGCGGGUCUCUGGGCAGUAACUGACGCUGAGGAACGAAAGCGUGGGUAGCAAACAGGAUUAGAUACCCUGGUAGUCCACGCCGUAAACGGUGGGCGCUAGGUGUGGGUUCCUUCCACGGGAUCUGUGCCGUAGCUAACGCAUUAAGCGCCCCGCCUGGGGAGUACGGCCGCAAGGCUA